AGAGUGUUUCUGAGCAAGGCCAAGAUACUAUGAAAGUGGAUUUUGACCAGACUCUCUUUUGGCCUCCUAAGGACCACAUAGCUAAAAUUGUUCUCAAUCUGUGAAGUACCUGCUGGUUAGCACAAACCAGGAAGAUCAGGGCCCCAGCUUUGUGGGCGGGACAGGCACAGUGUUAAUGAUUUCAAUGCAGCUCCAGCAGACCUCUUGGACAACUCUGCAGUUUUUUUCCGAUCAAACCUACUUUCCUUAAGAAGGCAUUACCUGAGGACCAAAAGUAGACCUUUAGGUUUCUUUGCAAACCUCCAGAGCUCAGAUGGGCACCAAGAAAAGGCAGCUGAUUUUGACAUUUCAGAGGAGAUGAAGGGGAAAAUGUACCUCAUCCCUGGCCAGCACAUGCCAUGCAGUUCAGAGGGAUGAAGAGGCCCAGAAUGGAACCAAAGACUCCCAACCUUGCACUCUCCUUACAUCUGACCAUCAAACCUGCCUGAAGCUCCUUCACCAGCUCAUUGCCCAGCUCUCCAGCGCACCUGGUAAAACCCCAGUGGAUUGUACAGGCAAGAUACCUGAUGUCUUCCCCCACCUUCAUCUAAACCAUCGCUGGCUGUGCCAGGGACAGCAUAGUCCUCGUACUCCUCAUCUGCAAAACUGCAGUGAUAAUAAAUGCCUACUUUUCAGGUUGUUGUGAAGUUUAAAAGAGGAAACACAAUUAAAGCAGAGUCAGCCGUUGUGAGUGGGCUCCGCUGGGAACUAGGUGGGCUGCCUUCCACAGAGGCAGUAAGUCUCAGGAAUGCUCCCCCUGCUGGGCCAUAGCUCUAAACAAGUCAUUUAGCUCCCUGAGCCUCCAUUUCCUCCUCUGGACAACACCCACUCCAUUAUCCAGACCUCUGAAAUCUUCUGAAAACUUCAAGUAGGUUGGUAGAAAUAAAAGCAGUUUCAAAACUCUGCAUGACUGCACAACUCUUAAUUCUAAAGUGAUUCCCUUCCACCAUUAUCCGGAAUGCAGGCAGG
RNAcentral lists this long non-coding RNA (1008 nucleotides) under Fukomys damarensis (Damara mole-rat). RNAcentral describes it as "lncRNA (ENSFDAG00000025140.1)". Lineage: Eukaryota; Metazoa; Chordata; Mammalia; Rodentia; Bathyergidae. The record is from RNAcentral.